AUGCUUGUUUCUGUGGCACAUAUACUAAAGGAUGAUAUAGGGAUGAUUAGCGUAGCCCUGAGUAAGGAUGACAUACAAAUAUGUGAAGAGUUAUAUAUAUAU
Nycticebus coucang (slow loris) is the source of this 102-nucleotide small nuclear RNA. NCBI's taxonomy places the organism in Eukaryota, Metazoa, Chordata, Mammalia, Primates, Lorisidae. The record is from RefSeq and is a predicted model, not a curated record.